CAGGUUCCGGUUCACGUCCGAUUACAAGCUUCAGUAGGGCGACCCGGCGACC
Molecule: non-coding RNA, 52 nt
Filed under: unclassified sequences
Description: L31-Actinobacteria ribosomal protein leader
Rfam family: L31-Actinobacteria ribosomal protein leader
Source: RNAcentral